Molecule: ribosomal RNA, 433 nt
Filed under: uncultured bacterium
Lineage: Bacteria
Description: partial 16S ribosomal RNA
Rfam family: Bacterial small subunit ribosomal RNA
Source: RNAcentral
AACGAACGCUGGCGGCAUGCCUAACACAUGCAAGUCGAACGAGACCUUCGGGUCUAGUGGCGCACGGGUGCGUAACGCGUGGGAACCUGCCCUUAGGUUCGGAAUAACUCCCCGAAAGGGGUGCUAAUACCGGAUAAUGUCUUCGGACCAAAGAUUUAUCGCCUUUGGAUGGGCCCGCGUUGGAUUAGCUAGUUGGUAGGGUAAAAGCCUACCAAGGCGACGAUCCAUAGCUGGUCUGAGAGGAUGAGCAGCCACACUGGGACUGAGACACGGCCCAGACUCCUACGGGAGGCAGCAGUGGGUAAUAUUGGACAAUGGGCGAAAGCCUGAUCCAGCAAUGCCGCGUGAGUGAUGAAGGCCUUAGGGUUGUAAAGCUCUUUUACCCGGGAUGAUAAUGACAGUACCGGGAGAAUAAGCUCCGGCUAACUCCGUG